This is a long non-coding RNA of Neofelis nebulosa (Clouded leopard), 1288 nucleotides long. RefSeq lists it as uncharacterized. The transcript is spliced from 2 exons. The record is from RefSeq and is a predicted model, not a curated record. Lineage: Eukaryota; Metazoa; Chordata; Mammalia; Carnivora; Felidae.
ACACCUAUUAAUUUUAGCAGCUCUUAUAAAUGCCUUGCCCGGGCACUCAGGAUGGAAGAGCUGCCAGGAGGGCAUGUGUCUUCCCAAGUGGGUCUCCUCAGCCAAACUCUGCUGACAUUCCUUUCCCUCCAUGGACCUCAGGCAUUGCAAGGUGGGGCGGCUCAUGACAGCUUCCUCCACACAAGCUCUUUGGACUCAAAAUCCUUUUUUUUUUUUUUUUUUUUUAAGUUGUUCUUUCUUUGCUCUUUGGAAACUACUGUUCAGAUGGUUCUGCAAGUUUAAUUUCUUCCCUCUUCGGCACUGAGAAUUUUGCUUUUGUUUUUAAUAGACUUAUGCAAAUCAAACGUAUAAUAUUUCUCUUAAAUUGAGGUCAUCUGGGUGACUAGUUCAAGAUUCAGAACAAGAUGCAUUCCAGGAUGUCCUGACACAACCAGAGAGGGACUGUCACUGUCUGGCUGAGCCCCCAGUUCCCCAUGGGAGAAUGUUGAGCCCACCGUCAGCCCCCAGCUCCCAGAUAGCAUGAGUCUCUCCUUCCUCCUCAGGCCCUCAGCCAUAGGUAAGUCUCUGCCUCCGACUCACAGAUCUCUCUGUGACCAAACCACCAUGUAGGAAAGUUCCUGGAGGAAACAAACAUUUAUGGACCUCACAGUUCGGGGUUAGCUGGAUCAUUUCUUGGAAGAUUUCUGAUCUGUAACAGAAGACAUAGCAGAGUCUUGCUUUUUAGUCCCCACCUCUGUCCCCGGCUCCUCACCUGCAUGUGCUAGUUACACAACAAAUGGCUUUUUUUUUCUUUAUACUCACAUGCACUGAAUUUUAGUUCGUAUCCUAAUUGUUUGGAUUUUUUUUAACAAAUGCUUUUUAGAUGGCAAAUGUUAAAAUGAAUUUUGCCAAUGCCCCAUGCUUCUCUUCCCACUCAGUUCACAGAAAGCAAGUUUGGGCCUGCCUCUGAUCUCUUGCAGCAGCAAGCUAAUCUCCAAGAUGACCUCACUGCAGAACUGUGUUUUAUAAUCAGCUAGCAAAUCUCAGCAUGAACCGAGAGCAAAGGUUAGAAAGACAAUAAAAAUACAAACAAGCCAGGAUUGUACAAGUCAGGUUAGUUCAGAGAACCAGCUGGACCUAUGAUUAAAUUUUAAUUAAAAAAAGAAACAAAAAACCAACAACUAUAGGAGGAGAAGCCUUCCCAGCAGAUAAGAAUCCUUUUCAGAAGAGCAAGACCUUUUUCUUAUUAACAAAUGGAGAUUUUGUAGUUCCUGAGAUAAUAAACAAAGGAAAAGGAUUUGAAAAUUCA